GGCCAGAUGGCCGAGCGGUCUAAGGCGAUUGACUCGAAGUUCUACCUUCUGUAAUCAAUUCUCGUAAGAGGCGCAAGUUCAAAUCUUGCUCUGGUCG
Molecule: non-coding RNA, 97 nt
Organism: Saitozyma podzolica
Lineage: Eukaryota; Fungi; Basidiomycota; Tremellomycetes; Tremellales; Trimorphomycetaceae
Source: the annotation of a GenBank genome assembly